UGUUUGGGACGUUGCUCUGCAG
This 22-nucleotide microRNA is filed under the name Gallus gallus (chicken). RNAcentral's name for it is "gga-miR-1569". Lineage: Eukaryota; Metazoa; Chordata; Aves; Galliformes; Phasianidae. The record is from miRBase by way of RNAcentral.